ACAGUCACACAUUAGAUACCCGGGUAGUCCCAGCCGUAAACUAUGCGCGUUAGGUGUAUCGGUGACCACGAGUUACCGAGGUGCCGAAGGGAAACCGUGAAACGUGCCGCCUGGGAAGUACGGUCGCAAGGCUGAAACUUAAAGGAAUUGGCGGGGAGCACCACAACAGGUGGAGCCUGCGGUUUAAUUGGACUCAACGCCGGGAAGCUCACCGGAUAGGACAGCAGAAUGAUUGCCGGGCUGAAGACCCUGCAUGACUAGCUG
Molecule: ribosomal RNA, 264 nt
Filed under: uncultured archaeon
Lineage: Archaea
Description: partial 16S ribosomal RNA
Rfam family: Archaeal small subunit ribosomal RNA
Source: RNAcentral